This 434-nucleotide ribosomal RNA is filed under the name uncultured bacterium. RNAcentral describes it as "partial 16S ribosomal RNA". It matches the Rfam family "Bacterial small subunit ribosomal RNA", at positions 29 to 507 of the family's 1533-position model. The record is from RNAcentral.
AGCGAACGCUGGCGGCAGGCCUAACACAUGCAAGUCGAACGAACCUUUCGGGGUUAGUGGCGGACGGGUGAGUAACACGUGGGAACGUGCCUUUAGGUUCGGAAUAACUCAGGGAAACUUGUGCUAAUACCGAAUGUGCCCUUCGGGGGAAAGAUUUAUCGCCUUUAGAGCGGCCCGCGUCUGAUUAGCUAGUUGGUUGAGGUAAUGGCUCACCAAGGCGACGAUCAGUAGCUGUUCUGAGAGGAUGAUCAGCCACAUUGGGACUGCGACACGGCCCACACUCCUACGGGAGGCAGCAGUGGGGAAUCUUGCGCAAUGGGCGAAAGCCUGACGCAGCCAUGCCGCGUGAAUGAUGAAGGUCUUAGGAUUGUAAAAUUCUUUCACCGGGGACGAUAAUGACGGUACCCGGAGAAGAAGCCCCGGCUAACUUCGUG